ACUUUCCUGACCUUCAUAAUGUCUGAAGCCUUUAACUUUCUGUGAAGGACUGAGAAUAAAAAUUAUUUUGCAGAUGGGGCUACCAGAGGAUAUUUGUCAUGGGCUUAAGAUUAUUUCAUGAAGAUUCACACUGAAACACAGCUCUUCCUGGGUCAUGAGCCUGCUGGUCUUCAGAUUGGAACUACACUAUCAGCUUUCCUGUGUCUCCAGCUUGCUGACUGUGAAUCUUUGGACUUGGGACUUGUCAGCCUCCAUAAUUUAUUGAGCCAAUUUGGUAUAAUAAAUCUCUCUCUCCCUCUCUCUCUGUAGGUAUAUAUUAUUUGUUCUGUUUCUCUGUAGAACUCUAGUAUAUCCCUUUCCCAGGGUUUGUUGUUGUGGCUAUUUGUUUGUUUAAUGACUUUCUUGAAGUAAUUCAUACAGUUGUACUCUUUGUUGUGUGCUGCCCAUGUAGUCUCUACUUGGUUAGUUUAGUGGUCAGCUAAUGAUUGAACAGACAUUUGCUUAAAUUCCAGGACCAAUAAAUCUCCCUCCCACACUUUGCUGAGAGGCUGUGUGUGUGUGUGUGUGUGUGUGUGUGUGUGUGUGUAUGUGUUGGGACACACCUUCAAUUCUAGGGAAGUUCACAACUCUGCCUUAGUCUUCACUUCUUGCUUGUACAGAACUAACUCUCAGCUAGAGUUGAGAGAUUAGGGCCUCUUCAGGUCUUUCCUGAUCAUACACACAGUCCUGCAAAUGCACAUGGCUAUCUAGAUUCCCAGGAGUAUGUCAAAACUUUUCAAAAUCUCCUACAGACCUCUAAUGACCCACACUUACCAUUUAAUUAUUUUGGUUAGCCUCUUGUUUGCCCCAGCUUGGAGUACUGCUUCAUGCAGCUGCAAUAAUAAACAAUUGCCACUGACUGUUUUCAACAAAUGGUUUGGGUAUUGAGCUUUUCUCAUGGAGUGAACUCUGAGUCAGGUCAAAUAAAGAAAAUCUUUCUAAUUUUUUUUAAGGGAGCUGACAGAUCAAACAGUGGUAAUUCUCUCCGUGUAAGGCUUUUGGAGGAGAUCCAAACCCAGCCCUGUUCAGUGGCUGCCAGGAUUUUGGUUUUCACAGCCACCAUGACUGUGAGGCUCCCAGAUUUCAAAGCUACCACAUAGUUGGAGAGAGGAAAACAGGAAUGGAGCAAGUUAAAAC
Molecule: long non-coding RNA, 1176 nt
Filed under: Homo sapiens (human)
Lineage: Eukaryota; Metazoa; Chordata; Mammalia; Primates; Hominidae
Description: HSALNT0328752
Source: RNAcentral